Molecule: long non-coding RNA, 318 nt
Filed under: Mytilus galloprovincialis (Mediterranean mussel)
Lineage: Eukaryota; Metazoa; Mollusca; Bivalvia; Mytilida; Mytilidae
Source: RNAcentral
CUUGUUUUUAUGGUUCGUCCACGUCUUGUCCUCUCACAAGAUAGAAGUGUUAAUUGUUUCUUCUGCUUCAAGAACCUCUGUUACUUUUUCACUGACUGUGAAGCUGUCUGUUUGCGUUGAAUUUGUAACUCUGAUGAAUCCCGCAAUGUCCCGAUGAUUUUUUUUAAAAGUAUAAAUCCAAACUAUAGAAACGCAGGAUAAUGUGUUAAAAUACGGGGAAUUUUUGUAACACUAUUAGUGCAAUUUCGUUAAGAAACCAAUUCGUUUAAAAUGGUUGCCGAAAAACGCUGCUUGCAAAAAAGAAAAAGAAAAUUCUUU